UUAAAAUUCAUACUAACAAAUUGCUGUCAUACUUUGAAAUCAAUGUUUUUAGUGCAAAGGCAGAGAGGGAAGGUGUGGUGGUAUUGGCAGCAAGAAGGCUGCAAUAAUAUGGGCCUGAAAUGAAGUACCGGAACAUUAUCAGUCAUUCAAGCUAUGAUAUCCUGGCAGAUCUACUUACUGAAAAGAAGACUCAGCAGAUCUUUUCAAGACACACUAGAUGGAGCGCGGAGAGACCGGACAGUUCCCACAGUGCUAGUUUUUCAGCACCCACACCCCAAACACAAAUUCAUA
Long non-coding RNA from Carassius gibelio (silver crucian carp), 291 nucleotides. RefSeq lists it as uncharacterized. Lineage: Eukaryota; Metazoa; Chordata; Actinopteri; Cypriniformes; Cyprinidae. The record is from RefSeq and is a predicted model, not a curated record. The transcript has 3 exons.